Molecule: ribosomal RNA, 253 nt
Filed under: uncultured bacterium
Lineage: Bacteria
Description: partial 16S ribosomal RNA
Rfam family: Bacterial small subunit ribosomal RNA
Source: RNAcentral
UACGUAGGUGGCAAGCGUUGUCCGGAUUUACUGGGCGUAAAGAGCGCGCAGGCGGCCGCGCAAGUCGAGUGUGAAAGCCCCGGGCUUAACUUGGGAAUUGCGCUCGAAACUACGUGGCUGGAGUGUGGCAGAGGAAGGUGGAAUUCCAGGUGUAGCGGUGAAAUGCGUAGAGAUCUGGAGGAACACCGAUGGCGAAGGCAGCCUUCUGGGCCAACACUGACGCUCAUGCACGAAAGCGUGGGGAGCAAACAGG